CGUUAAGGUCGCAUUGUAAUAUUGAUGCACAAAAGAGAAUCCGGUGUGAAUCCGGAACGAUACCGUCACUGUGUAUGGGAGCUAUAUUCAGAAACCACUGGGAAACCGGGAAGGGAAUGCAGCGAUGAACGAAGUCAGGAGAACUGCCUUAAUG
RNAcentral lists this non-coding RNA (154 nucleotides) under Blautia luti. Lineage: Bacteria; Bacillati; Bacillota; Clostridia; Lachnospirales; Lachnospiraceae. The record is from RNAcentral.